Molecule: ribosomal RNA, 492 nt
Filed under: uncultured bacterium
Lineage: Bacteria
Description: partial 16S ribosomal RNA
Rfam family: Bacterial small subunit ribosomal RNA
Source: RNAcentral
AGUGAACGCUGGCGGUAGGCCUAACACAUGCAAGUCGAACGGCAGCACAGUAAGAGCUUGCUCUUACGGGUGGCGAGUGGCGGACGGGUGAGGAAUACAUCGGAAUCUACUUUUUCGUGGGGGAUAACGUAGGGAAACUUACGCUAAUACCGCAUACGACCUACGGGUGAAAGCAGGGGAUCUUCGGACCUUGCGCGAUUGAAUGAGCCGAUGUCGGAUUAGCUAGUUGGCGGGGUAAAGGCCCACCAAGGCGACGAUCCGUAGCUGGUCUGAGAGGAUGAGAACCCACACUGGAAGGGAGACACGGCCCGGACUCCUAGGGGGGGAAGCAGGGGGGAAUUGUGGAAAAGGGGGGAAACCCUGACCCACCAAUCCCGGGUGGGUAAAAAGGGCCUGGGGUUUGAAAGCCCCUUUUUUGGGAAAAAAAAAAAAGCGGGUAAAUCCCCCGCUGUUCGGAGGAACCCAAAAAAAAAAGCCCCGGCUAACUUCGUC